GAGAAAUCACAUCCAACACGAAAAACACACACUCACAGCCUGACACUUGUCGUAAAUCUUCCCCUGACAGCUCCCCUUAAUGGAGCGGUUUGACUGUUGCGCACACACAAAACGCACGAAACCCUCAUCAUCAUCAUCAUCAUCAUCAUCAUCACCAGCAGCGGCAGCAGCAGCGGCAGCCGGCUGCGGGGCGUUUGUUUCCAGGAGGUGCGGGACAGGCGGGGAAACGUGCACGCAAGUACACAAGACGGGAUGGAAGCAGCUGUAAGUGUGACACUGAUGUUAACUUGGCAACAGAAACUACACGAAGCAGCGCUGCGUGUCCUUGACACACACGGAGAAAAAAAAAAACCCACAGAAGGAGGCUGCGGUGCUGCGGGUCGGGCAGCCAGCAGCACCGCACAGUUACCACAACACCGACACACACACGCAACUGACACAGGAAGAGGCAAUAACACAAAUGAGACAAAUAUCCAAGCUGCUUGAAGACUUACCCGAGCUCUGUAUCCACAUCUGCUGGAUGACACGGGAGCGUCAGACGUCACACUGUGUUGCAUUCAGCAGGUGUGAGCGCGUGGAGGAGCAGGUAUUUUCAGUCUUGUGGACCCACCAGCCAACACGGUCCUGCCCGAGGCCGCUGCUGCCAGCACGACUCGACGUUUGCAUUCAUCCCAGAGGGGUCGCAGGUGACUCGACCCGUGACGAUGAUCCUGAGAGCCGAAUACGAUGUUGGAGAGGAAACUGUGAGCGAAGGAGACAGAAAUAGAGGACGGAGGGGAUGGAGGGCUCGGUGGUUCAGGUGUUUCCAUGCAGCUCGAUGUGUUUCUGCUCCUUCUUGUUUCUGUCGCUGCAAAACAAAGACUCAACACUUUUAAAACUCGACUGAGAUUAGAAAUAAAAAUCAAGACCUUGUUUUUGUUUCUU
This is a long non-coding RNA of Acanthopagrus latus (yellowfin seabream), 924 nucleotides long. RefSeq lists it as uncharacterized. The record is from RefSeq and is a predicted model, not a curated record. NCBI's taxonomy places the organism in Eukaryota, Metazoa, Chordata, Actinopteri, Spariformes, Sparidae. The transcript has 2 exons.